UACGUAGGGCCCGAGCGUAUCCGGUAUUAUUGGGCGUAAAGAAUACGUAGGCGGUUUGGUAAGACAAUGGUUAAAGCUCCGAGCUCAACUCGGAAAUCGCCGUUGUUACUGCCAAACUAGUCGGUAGCAGGGGCAAGCGGAAUUCUCGGUGUAGGAGUGAAAUCCGUUGAGAUCGAGAAGAACACCAAUGGCGAAGGCAGCUUGCUAGGCUAUUGAGACGCUGAGGUAUGAAAGCGUGGGUAGCGAACGGG
Molecule: ribosomal RNA, 251 nt
Filed under: uncultured bacterium
Lineage: Bacteria
Description: partial 16S ribosomal RNA
Rfam family: Bacterial small subunit ribosomal RNA
Source: RNAcentral